CUCCGUUUCCUCGUUUGGAAACAGGUGGAGCAUGGCGGAGCGCGUAUGCAACGCACCUACAGCAGGAUGUCUAAAUUCAGCUCUACAACAAAAUGCAAGCUAUCAACACUUUGAACAAGUCUUCUUCCACAAAGAUGAUGCUAUGUGACAAGCACACCACAACAAAGAAGAGUGUGCUGACCUGAAAUGACUGCUGGAACGUUCUCUGUUGCAUAAACUGAAGGACUUGUGUAUGCUCAGCAUGAAAAGUCUAUUAAUAGAAGAGACAAACCCGAGGAGUUGAGCCUCCAAAAAUAGCAGUUUCUUCAUCUUUCUUUAAUAUACUUAUGCAAAACUUCCAGAAAUAGAAACUAUUCAAAUAUUUAUCAAUUUUGAACGCAUCUCUGGAAUUGGUGAGAACACAGAAAUAUGCCUUGUAACAAAAUAAAAAUAUUUCUAUUUUCUUA
Molecule: long non-coding RNA, 446 nt
Organism: Notolabrus celidotus (New Zealand spotty)
Lineage: Eukaryota; Metazoa; Chordata; Actinopteri; Labriformes; Labridae
Exons: 2
Source: RefSeq, a predicted model, not a curated record